Molecule: ribosomal RNA, 1390 nt
Filed under: uncultured beta proteobacterium
Lineage: Bacteria; Pseudomonadati; Pseudomonadota; Betaproteobacteria
Description: bacterial SSU rRNA
Rfam family: Bacterial small subunit ribosomal RNA
Source: RNAcentral
UAGAGUUUGAUCCUGGCUCAGAUUGAACGCUGGCGGAAUGCUUUACACAUGCAAGUCGAACGGCAGCACGGGAGCUUGCUCCUGGUGGCGAGUGGCGAACGGGUGAGUAAUGUAUCGGAACGUACCCCGUCGUGGGGGAUAACUCUCCGAAAGGAGAGCUAAUACCGCAUACGACCCGAGGGUGAAAGCGGGGGACCUGGGGUAACCUGGGCCUCGCGCGAUGGGAGCGGCCGAUAUCGGAUUAGCUAGUUGGUGGGGUAAAGGCCUACCAAGGCGACGAUCCGUAGCGGGUCUGAGAGGACGACCCGCCACACUGGAACUGAGACACGGUCCAGACUCCUACGGGAGGCAGCAGUGGGGAAUUUUGGACAAUGGGCGCAAGCCUGAUCCAGCCAUUCCGCGUGAGUGAAGAAGGCCUUCGGGUUGUAAAGCUCUUUCAGCAGGAACGAAACGGUGGGUCUUAAUACGGCCUGCUAAUGACGGUACCUGCAGAAGAAGCACCGGCUAACUACGUGCCAGCAGCCGCGGUAAUACGUAGGGUGCGAGCGUUAAUCGGAAUUACUGGGCGUAAAGCGUGCGCAGGCGGCGACAUAAGACAGAUGUGAAAUCCCCGGGGCUCAACCUGGGAACGGCGUUUGUGACUGUGUGGCUAGAGUGUAGCAGAGGGGGGUGGAAUUCCACGUGUAGCAGUGAAAUGCGUAGAGAUGUGGAGGAACACCGAUGGCGAAGGCAGCCCCCUGGGUUAACACUGACGCUCAUGCACGAAAGCGUGGGGAGCAAACAGGAUUAGAUACCCUGGUAGUCCACGCCCUAAACGAUGCCAACUAGGUGUUGGGGGAGGAGACUUCCUUAGUACCGUAGCUAACGCGUGAAGUUGGCCGCCUGGGGAGUACGGUCGCAAGAUUAAAACUCAAAGGAAUUGACGGGGACCCGCACAAGCGGUGGAUGAUGUGGAUUAAUUCGAUGCAACGCGAAAAACCUUACCUACCCUUGACAUGUCCGGAAUCCCGAAGAGAUUUGGGAGUGCUCGAAAGAGAGCCGGAACACAGGUGCUGCAUGGCUGUCGUCAGCUCGUGUCGUGAGAUGUUGGGUUAAGUCCCGCAACGAGCGCAACCCUUAUCAUUAGUUGCCAUCAUUGAGUUGGGCACUCUAAUGAGACUGCCGGUGACAAACCGGAGGAAGGUGGGGAUGACGUCAAGUCCUCAUGGCCCUUAUGGGUAGGGCUUCACACGUCAUACAAUGGUCGGUACAGAGGGUUGCCAACCCGCGAGGGGGAGCUAAUCUCACAAAGCCGAUCGUAGUCCGGAUCGCAGUCUGCAACUCGACUGCGUGAAGUCGGAAUCGCUAGUAAUCGUGGAUCAGCAUGUCACGGUGAAUACGUUCCCGGGUC